GGAGAGGUACCCGAAGCGGCCCAACGGGGUCCGGGUGCAUGCCCGGUCGGGUCUUCACGGCCCGCGCAGGUUCGAAUCCUGCCCUCUCCG
Molecule: transfer RNA, 90 nt
Filed under: Streptomyces griseocarneus
Lineage: Bacteria; Bacillati; Actinomycetota; Actinomycetes; Kitasatosporales; Streptomycetaceae
Also listed under: 1 other name
Description: tRNA-Cys
Rfam family: tRNA
About the family: Transfer RNA (tRNA) molecules are approximately 80 nucleotides in length. Their secondary structure includes four short double-helical elements and three loops (D, anti-codon, and T loops).
Source: RNAcentral